CAUUACAAGAAGCCGAAAGGCUACUUCAAACCAUCGCGAACUCGUCCAAGUUGCUUCGGCGGCGCGGCACCCCUUAACGGGGGCGCCGCAGCCCUGCCUCUCCGGAGGUUCGGGGCGCCCGCCGGAGGUACGAAACUCUGUAUUAUAGUGGCAUCUCUGAGUAUAAAACAAAUAAGUUAAAACUUUCAACAACGGAUCUCUUGGUUCUGGCAUCGAUGAAGAACGCAGCGAAAUGCGAUAAGUAAUGUGAAUUGCAGAAUUCAGUGAAUCAUCGAAUCUUUGAACGCACAUUGCGCCCGGUAGUACUCUACCGGGCAUGCCUGUUCGAGCGUCAUUUCAACCCUCAAGCCCUGCUUGGUGUUGGGGCCCUACGGCUGCCGUAGGCCCUGAAAGGAAGUGGCGGGCUCGCUACAACUCCGAGCGUAGUAAUUCAUUAUCUCGCUAGGGAGGUUGCGGCGUGCUCCUGCCGUUAAAGACCCAUCUUUAACCAAGGUUGAC
Molecule: ribosomal RNA, 498 nt
Filed under: Phialophora sp. GS6N1a
Lineage: Eukaryota; Fungi; Ascomycota; Eurotiomycetes; Chaetothyriales; Herpotrichiellaceae
Description: eukaryotic LSU rRNA
Rfam family: 5.8S ribosomal RNA (bases 181-334)
Source: RNAcentral